AGUGAACGCUGGCGGUAUGCCUAACACAUGCAAGUCGAACGGCAGCACAGUAAGAGCUUGCUCUUACGGGUGGCGAGUGGCGGACGGGUGAGGAAUACAUCGGAAUCUACUUUUUCGUGGGGGAUAACGUAGGGAAACUUACGCUAAUACCGCAUACGACCUACCGGUGAAAGCAGGGGAUCUUCGGACCUUGCGCGAUUGAAUGAGCCGAUGUCGGAUUAGCUAGUUGGCGGGGUAAAGGCCCACCAAGGCGACGAUCCGUAGCUGGUCUGAGAGGAUGAUCAGCCACACUGGAACUGAGACACGGUCCAGACUCCUACGGGAGGCAGCAGUGGGGAAUAUUGGACAAUGGGCGCAAGCCUGAUCCAGCCAUGCCGCGUGGGUGAAGAAGGCCUUCGGGUUGUAAAGCCCUUUUGUUGGGAAAGAAAAGCAGCAGGUUAAUACCCCGCUGUUCUGACGGUACCCAAAGAAUAAGCACCGGCUAACUUCGUG
RNAcentral lists this ribosomal RNA (492 nucleotides) under uncultured bacterium. RNAcentral describes it as "partial 16S ribosomal RNA". It matches the Rfam family "Bacterial small subunit ribosomal RNA", at positions 29 to 507 of the family's 1533-position model. The record is from RNAcentral.